GCUUGAAUAGCUUAAAUAAGAGCAUAACGUUGAAGGUGUUAAGGUGGUAAUCUAUCUUCGAGUA
This 64-nucleotide transfer RNA is filed under the name Watasenia scintillans (sparkling enope). Its description in RNAcentral is "tRNA-Phe". Lineage: Eukaryota; Metazoa; Mollusca; Cephalopoda; Oegopsida; Enoploteuthidae. The record is from RNAcentral.